UUAAUAAGGGAGGCAAUACCCGCCCUCUUUAAACGCCCAAAAUUUAUCCUUCUAACAAUAUUUACGAAACCAUCUUUCUUCCCCCGCGGAGUGCCCAACAACUUUCCCCCCCAAAAUGAUCCCCGCGGCCCCCGCGGAGGAUCCUAUCGAACUACCCGCCCGGGGCGCGCCCCGGGCGGGGCGGGCACGGGGGGACUCCUACGGGAGGCAGCAGUAGGGAAUCUUCCACAAUGGACGAAAGUCUGAUGGAGCAACGCCGCGUGAGUGAAGAAGGGUUUCGGGUCGUAACUCUGUUGUUAGAAGAAGAACGGUACUGGUCGAGAGUAACUGUUGCUAGGUAGUGACGUACCAACCAGAAGCAGACUUCCGGC
This 371-nucleotide ribosomal RNA is filed under the name uncultured Pediococcus sp. RNAcentral's name for it is "partial 16S ribosomal RNA". It matches the Rfam family "Bacterial small subunit ribosomal RNA", at positions 292 to 508 of the family's 1533-position model. The record is from RNAcentral. Lineage: Bacteria; Bacillati; Bacillota; Bacilli; Lactobacillales; Lactobacillaceae.